GGUGGCUCAGUGGUAGAGUGCUUGCCUUGCAUGUAGGAGGCCCUGGGUUCGAUUCCUCAGCACCA
Molecule: transfer RNA, 65 nt
Filed under: Dipodomys ordii (Ord's kangaroo rat)
Lineage: Eukaryota; Metazoa; Chordata; Mammalia; Rodentia; Heteromyidae
Rfam family: tRNA
About the family: Transfer RNA (tRNA) molecules are approximately 80 nucleotides in length. Their secondary structure includes four short double-helical elements and three loops (D, anti-codon, and T loops). Further hydrogen bonds mediate the characteristic L-shaped molecular structure. tRNAs have two regions of fundamental functional importance: the anti-codon, which is responsible for specific mRNA codon recognition, and the 3' end, to which the tRNAs corresponding amino acid is attached (by aminoacyl-tRNA synthetases). tRNAs cope with the degeneracy of the genetic code in two manners: having more than one tRNA (with a specific anti-codon) for a particular amino acid; and 'wobble' base-pairing, i.e. permitting non-standard base-pairing at the 3rd anti-codon position.
Source: Rfam by way of RNAcentral